CUGUUCCCAGCACCGGAGUGGGAGGGAUGCUCCCAGCUGUACCCCGAGACAUUCCCAUAUGUGUGGUCCCAGUUGUCCUCAACCUCCAGCAUCACCCCCUCCUUCCCUCCCCAGCUCCCUGGUGGCUCUGCAGUGACUGGGAAAGGUCAGGGACCUGCAGGUGGCCUGGAACAGGAGGGACUGGACAGUGACAGGGAGAAGGUGCAGAGCCCCCAGGAGCAGCUGGAGCAGAGACACGGCCGUCACCUGCCCCAGCACCCCUGUCCCAGCUCGGGGCUGCCAGAGCCUGGGGGACACAUCCAGCUCCUGUCCUGACUGUGGCAGCGCCCUCUGAGGAGCUGGCAGCACCACCAUGUCCCAGGCAGGAGGAGCUGAGGAGGCCUUUGAACACUGUGAUGUGGUCAUCAACAGCCAGGACAAGGUUUCGGAUGUGUACACGCAGCUGGAGAAGCUGGGGGAGGGGAAAUUUGGGACAGUGUACAGGCUGCAGGAAAAGGCCACCGGCAAAAUCCGGGCCGGGAAAUAUUUCCGGACGCGCACAGCAAAGGAGAAGCAGACGGCUCAGGCUGAGGUGGAGCUGAUGAACCUCCUGCAUCACCCACGCCUCGUGCAGUGCCUCGACGCCUUCCAGGGCCCCACCGAGCUGGUGAUGGUGAUGGAGUACGUGGCAGGUGGGGAGCUCUUUGAGCGCAUUGUGGACGAUGACUUCGAGCACACGGAGCCCAGCAGUGCCCAGUACGUGCGGCAGAUCCUGGAGGGGCUGCGCUUCAUGCACGGCCAGGCCAUCGUCCACCUCGACCUCAAACCCGAGAACAUCGUCUGCGUCAGCCCCGACAGCCACUGGAUCAAGAUCAUCGAUUUUGGCUUGGCACGCAAGCUGGCUCCAGACACCCCCGUGAAGGUGUUGCACGGCACCCCUGAGUUCAUGGCUCCAGAAGUGGUCGCCUUUGAGCCCGUGAGCUUCUCCACGGACAUGUGGAGUGUUGGUGUCAUCUGCUACAUCCUGCUGAGCGGGGAGUCCCCCUUCCAGGGGGACACCGACAUGGAGACACUGAGCAAUGUCACAGCUGCCCAGUGGGACUUUGGGGAGGAGACCUUCUCGGAGAUCUCCCAGCAAGCCAAGGACUUCAUCAACCAACUGCUGCAGAAGGACCCCUGCCGGCGACUCCCCAGUGCAGAGGCUCUGCUGCACCCCUGGCUGCAGCACCCCCAGCCCAGCAGCCCCAAGGUGCUGUCAAAGGAGAGGAUCAGGCAGUUCCUGGCGCGUCGCAAGUGGCAGAAAACAGGGAAAGCCCUGCUGGCUCUCAAGAGGCUGACCCUGCUGUCCCAGAGCCUGGAGGGGAAGGUGUCAGAGGCUCAGGAUGAGGAAGAACCGAAUCCACCCACGCCGUGGAGGACACGUGUCUGAGAGCUCUGCCUGGGAGCCACUGAUGGGACACAGCUGAAGGGGAUGCCAACCCUCGGAGCUGCUGUGGAGCAGUGAUGACAAAUCUGUUUUGGGCAGUUUGCUGAAGCCCCUGGAAGCUGGUGGCCAUCACAGCAGGAGGAUCCACGGCAGGAUUUGGCAUCCUGCAGCCUCCAGAGAUGGGUCCAACCCUGGCUCUCCAGCAGCUGUGUGAGACAUCCUGACAGACCUCACCUGCUUCCUUUUCCUCCCAUGUUUGCAGCAGGAGCCGUGAAUUCCCUGCUCCAAGUUGGAGGAGAAACUCCUUAGAAACAAAUAAACAAACAAAAAUACUCCAUAUUCUGCCCACAGCGCUUCCCAUCCCAGAGUAGCAGAGGGAGGCUGAGGAACCCCUUUCCCACACAUCACAUCCCGGUUUUUACCCUCUAUCUAUCCCGUGUUUUCCUCGUUACACAGAUUCCAAACCCAUCCCUCGGGAACGGCGCUGAAUGUGCUCAAGCUGCAGAUGAUAAGCAAACACCAAGUUGCGUAUAAUCAAUCCCUUGAUGAGCUAUUUACCAUGUGACAUUACCAAAAUAUUUCUGCUUGGGAAAGAUGUUUAUCUUCCUCUGUUUUCCAAACUCCUCGUGGCCCUGAAAAUCCAAGUCCCAGGACUCCAGACAGGAAUUUUUUUUCUCUAAUCCUAUAUUUAUACUGUAAAAACCUGAUUUACCUACAGAAGAAACUUAUUUACUGACAGAAGACAUGUGUUCCUUCUCCUUCCACUGCUUCCCGUGGCUUAACACAUUAAACUCUGCAAUUCAGGAAGGAAUGGAGAGUGGAUUACACCUGGAACUCAUCACAGCCACUGAGAAAUUCAGCAGUGCUGAGAAUAGAAUUCUAAUCUCAGGAUCUCACAGGCAAAGGAAUUAAGAUCUUGUCCUUCCAUCAAGACACUCUUGGGUUGACCUUCACUUCAGCCACACAACCCCAGAGUAUGUCCUCAGAUCCUCAGGAAUCCUCCAUGGGGGCAGAAAGGAUGAGUGAUGUCCCCUGGGGAAUCUUGAGAAGUGGUUCCCACCUUCUCUCAGGUAUUUCAGGUGCCCCCAGGUCCAGCUCUUUGAGGAACAUGAAGUGGGAUCAGCUCUCCAAACACCCUCAAGUUUCUGGAGCUUUAUCCUUCAGUGCCAAGGGAUCAGAUAACCUCUGGCUGCACAGUCUAAAUCUGGGAGUGCCUGUUUGGAUGAGGGAGUAUUGCCUGGGUAGCUCGGACAUCAAGAAAUAGGACUUUUUUUUGUGGACCUGCAAAUUUAAGGGAAAAAAAAAAAUCCAUUCCUGCUUGAGUGUUUUCCAGAGAAUUUAAAUUAAUUAAGAAAACAAA
Molecule: RNA transcript, 2765 nt
Organism: Corvus hawaiiensis (hawaiian crow)
Lineage: Eukaryota; Metazoa; Chordata; Aves; Passeriformes; Corvidae
Gene name: myosin light chain kinase, smooth muscle-like
Exons: 11
Source: RefSeq, a predicted model, not a curated record